GGGUUGUGAGGUUAAGCGACUAAGCGUACACGGUGGAUGCCCUGGCAGUCAGAGGCGAUGAAGGGCGUGCUAAUCUGCGAUAAGCGCCGGUAAGGUGAUAUGAACCGUUAUAACCGGCGAUACCCGAAUGGGGAAACCCAGUGUGACUCGUCACACUAUCAUUAACUGAAUCCAUAGGUUAAUGAGGCGAACCGGGGGAACUGAAACAUCUAAGUACCCCGAGGAAAAGAAAUCAACCGAGAUUCCCCCAGUAGCGGCGAGCGAACGGGGAGGAGCCCAGAGCCUGAAUCAGCAUGUGUGUUAGUGGAAGCGUCUGGAAAGGCGCGCGAUACAGGGUGACAGCCCCGUACACAAAAGCGCAUGUGCUGUGAGCUCGAUGAGUAGGGCGGGACACGUGGUAUCCUGUCUGAAUAUGGGGGGACCAUCCUCCAAGGCUAAAUACUCCUGACUGACCGAUAGUGAACCAGUACCGUGAGGGAAAGGCGAAAAGAACCCCGGCGAGGGGAGUGAAAAAGAACCUGAAACCGUGUACGUACAAGCAGUGGGAGCCCCACCACCAAAGCAUUCUCUGGUGUUGAAGGCCCUGCAAAGCAGCAUCGCGGUGGCGGAGUGUCGUUUGCGACGCCCAACACACAAAACAAGCGGUGAGUGCUUUGGGGUGGGGUGACUGCGUACCUUUUGUAUAAUGGGUCAGCGACUUAUAUUCUGUAGCAAGGUUAACCGAAUAGGGGAGCCGGAGGGAAACCGAGUCUUAACCGGGCGUUAAGUUGCAGGGUAUAGACCCGAAACCCGGUGAUCUAGCCAUGGGCAGGUUGAAGGUUGGGUAACACUAACUGGAGGACCGAACCGACUAAUGUUGAAAAAUUAGCGGAUGACCUGUGGCUGGGGGUGAAAGGCCAAUCAAACCGGGAGAUAGCUGGUUCUCCCCGAAAGCUAUUUAGGUAGCGCCUCGUGAAUUCAUCUCCGGGGGUAGAGCACUGUUUCGGCUAGGGGGCCAUCCCGGCUUACCAACCCGAUGCAAACUGCGAAUACCGGAGAAUGUUAUCACGGGAGACACACGGCGGGUGCUAACGUCCGUCGUGAAGAGGGAAACAACCCAGACCGCCAGCUAAGGUCCCAAAGUCAUGGUUAAGUGGGAAACGAUGUGGGAAGGCCCAGACAGCCAGGAUGUUGGCUUAGAAGCAGCCAUCAUUUAAAGAAAGCGUAAUAGCUCACUGGUCGAGUCGGCCUGCGCGGAAGAUGUAACGGGGCUAAACCAUGCACCGAAGCUGCGGCAGCGAACGUAUCACUUAAAGCGAUUCAGCGGGUUACGAUUGACGGAGCGAAGCGACGUCAAAGCGUAUACAAAGUCGAGUCGGUUUAAGAAUACGUUCGUUGGGUAGGGGAGCGUUCUGUAAGCCUGUGAAGGUGGCCUGUGAGGGUUGCUGGAGGUAUCAGAAGUGCGAAUGCUGACAUAAGUAACGAUAAAGCGGGUGAAAAGCCCGCUCGCCGGAAGACCAAGGGUUCCUGUCCAACGUUAAUCGGGGCAGGGUGAGUCGACCCCUAAGGCGAGGCCGAAAGGCGUAGUCGAUGGGAAACGGGUUAAUAUUCCCGUACUUGGUGUUACUGCGAAGGGGGGACGGAGAAGGCUAUGUUGGCCGGGCGACGGUUGUCCCGGUUUAAGCGUGUAGGUGUGUGUUCCAGGUAAAUCCGGUUCACUUUAACACUGAGGCGUGACGACGAGGCACUACGGUGCUGAAGCAACAAAUGCCCUGCUUCCAGGAAAAGCCUCUAAGCAUCAGGUAACAUCAAAUCGUACCCCAAACCGACACAGGUGGUCAGGUAGAGAAUACCAAGGCGCUUGAGAGAACUCGGGUGAAGGAACUAGGCAAAAUGGUGCCGUAACUUCGGGAGAAGGCACGCUGACACGUAGGUGAAGUGAUUUACUCAUGGAGCUGAAGUCAGUCGAAGAUACCAGCUGGCUGCAACUGUUUAUUAAAAACACAGCACUGUGCAAACACGAAAGUGGACGUAUACGGUGUGACGCCUGCCCGGUGCCGGAAGGUUAAUUGAUGGGGUCAGCGCAAGCGAAGCUCCUGAUCGAAGCCCCGGUAAACGGCGGCCGUAACUAUAACGGUCCUAAGGUAGCGAAAUUCCUUGUCGGGUAAGUUCCGACCUGCACGAAUGGCGUAAUGAUGGCCAGGCUGUCUCCACCCGAGACUCAGUGAAAUUGAACUCGCUGUGAAGAUGCAGUGUACCCGCGGCAAGACGGAAAGACCCCGUGAACCUUUACUAUAGCUUGACACUGAACAUUGAGCCUUGAUGUGUAGGAUAGGUGGGAGGCUUUGAAGUGUGGACGCCAGUCUGCAUGGAGCCGACCUUGAAAUACCACCCUUUAAUGUUUGAUGUUCUAACGUGGACCCGUUACCCGGGUUGCGGACAGUGUCUGGUGGGUAGUUUGACUGGGGCGGUCUCCUCCUAAAGAGUAACGGAGGAGCACGAAGGUUGGCUAAUCCUGGUCGGACAUCAGGAGGUUAGUGCAAUGGCAUAAGCCAGCUUGACUGCGAGCGUGACGGCGCGAGCAGGUGCGAAAGCAGGUCAUAGUGAUCCGGUGGUUCUGAAUGGAAGGGCCAUCGCUCAACGGAUAAAAGGUACUCCGGGGAUAACAGGCUGAUACCGCCCAAGAGUUCAUAUCGACGGCGGUGUUUGGCACCUCGAUGUCGGCUCAUCACAUCCUGGGGCUGAAGUAGGUCCCAAGGGUAUGGCUGUUCGCCAUUUAAAGUGGUACGCGAGCUGGGUUUAGAACGUCGUGAGACAGUUCGGUCCCUAUCUGCCGUGGGCGCUGGAGAACUGAGGGGGGCUGCUCCUAGUACGAGAGGACCGGAGUGGACGCAUCACUGGUGUUCGGGUUGUCAUGCCAAUGGCACUGCCCGGUAGCUAAAUGCGGAAGAGAUAAGUGCUGAAAGCAUCUAAGCACGAAACUUGCCCCGAGAUGAGUUCUCCCUGAGACUUAGAGUCUCCUGAAGGAACGUUGAAGACGACGACGUUGAUAGGCCGGGUGUGUAAGCGCAGCGAUGCGUUGAGCUAACCGGUACUAAUGAACCGUGAGGCUUAACCUUACAACGCCGAAG
This 3110-nucleotide ribosomal RNA is filed under the name Salmonella enterica. RNAcentral's name for it is "bacterial LSU rRNA". It matches the Rfam family "Bacterial large subunit ribosomal RNA". The record is from RNAcentral. Lineage: Bacteria; Pseudomonadati; Pseudomonadota; Gammaproteobacteria; Enterobacterales; Enterobacteriaceae.